Molecule: ribosomal RNA, 754 nt
Filed under: uncultured Sphingobacterium sp.
Lineage: Bacteria; Pseudomonadati; Bacteroidota; Sphingobacteriia; Sphingobacteriales; Sphingobacteriaceae
Description: bacterial SSU rRNA
Rfam family: Bacterial small subunit ribosomal RNA
Source: RNAcentral
GUGCGUAGGCGGGUAGGUAAGUCAGUGGUGAAAUCCUGGAGCUCAACUCCAGAACUGCCAUUGAUACUAUCUAUCUUGAAUAUUGUGGAGGUAAGCGGAAUAUGUCAUGUAGCGGUGAAAUGCUUAGAUAUGACAUAGAACACCCAUUGCGAAGGCAGCUUACUACGCAUAUAUUGACGCUGAGGCACGAAAGCGUGGGGAUCAAACAGGAUUAGAUACCCUGGUAGUCCACGCCCUAAACUAUGGAUACUCGACAUAUGCGAUACACUGUAUGUGUCUGAGCGAAAGCAUUAAGUAUCCCACCUGGGAAGUACGUUCGCAAGAAUGAAACUCAAAGGAAUUGGCGGGGGUCCGCACAAGCGGUGGAGUAUGUGGUUUAAUUCGAUGAUACGCGAGGAACCUUACCUGGGCUAGAAUGCUGGGAGACCGUGGGUGAAAGCUCACUUUGUAGCAAUACACUGCCAGUAAGGUGCUGCAUGGCUGUCGUCAGCUCGUGCCGUGAGGUGUUGGGUUAAGUCCCGCAACGAGCGCAACCCCCAUCUUUAGUUGCCAGCGAGUAAUGUCGGGGACUCUAAAGAAACUGCCUACGCAAGUAGUGAGGAAGGCGGGGACGACGUCAAGUCAUCACGGCCCUUACGUCCUGGGCCACACACGUGCUACAAUGGUAGGUACAGAGGGCAGCUACCGGGUGACCGGAUGCGAAUCUCUAAAGCCUAUCUCAGUUCGGAUCGGAGUCUGCAACUCGACUCCGUGA